This 498-nucleotide ribosomal RNA is filed under the name uncultured bacterium. Its description in RNAcentral is "bacterial SSU rRNA". It matches the Rfam family "Bacterial small subunit ribosomal RNA", at positions 427 to 920 of the family's 1533-position model. The record is from RNAcentral.
AAAGGACUUUUGUCAGGGAGCAAAACUUACUGGUUAAUACCCGGUGAGGCUGAGAGUACCUGAAGAAUAAGCACCGGCUAACUACGUGCCAGCAGCCGCGGUAAUACGUAGGGUGCAAGCGUUAAUCGGAAUUACUGGGCGUAAAGCGUGCGCAGGCGGACUUAAGCCAGAUGUGAAAGCCCCGAGCUUAACUUGGGAAUUGCGUUUGGAACUGGGAGUCUAGAGUCUGUCAGAGGGGGAUGGAAUUCCACGUGUAGCAGUGAAAUGCGUAGAGAUGUGGAGGAACACCGAUGGCGAAGGCAGUCCCCUGGGAUAAGACUGACGCUCAUGCACGAAAGCGUGGGGAGCAAACAGGAUUAGAUACCCUGGUAGUCCACGCCCUAAACGAUGUCUACUAGUUGUUGGGGUAGCAAUACCUCAGUGACGCAGCUAACGCGUGAAGUAGACCGCCUGGGGAGUACGGUCGCAAGAUUAAAACUCAAAGGAAUUGACGGGGGC